RNAcentral lists this ribosomal RNA (253 nucleotides) under uncultured bacterium. Its description in RNAcentral is "partial 16S ribosomal RNA". It matches the Rfam family "Bacterial small subunit ribosomal RNA", at positions 524 to 776 of the family's 1533-position model. The record is from RNAcentral.
UACGUAGGUGGCAAGCGUUGUCCGGAUUUACUGGGCGUAAAGAGCGCGCAGGCGGUCGUUCAAGUCGCGUGUGAAAGCCCCCGGCUCAACUGGGGAGGGUCACGCGAUACUGAUCGACUCGAAGGCAGGAGAGGGUAGUGGAAUUCCCGGUGUAGUGGUGAAAUGCGUAGAUAUCGGGAGGAACACCAGUGGCGAAGGCGGUUGCCUGGGGCUUUGCUGACGCUGAUGCGCGAAAGCGUGGGGAGCGAUCCGG